Molecule: non-coding RNA, 36 nt
Organism: Schistosoma rodhaini
Lineage: Eukaryota; Metazoa; Platyhelminthes; Trematoda; Strigeidida; Schistosomatidae
Source: Rfam
AUCCAGCUGACGAGUCCCGAAUAGGACGUCCUGGAU